This 73-nucleotide transfer RNA is filed under the name uncultured Actinomycetes bacterium. RNAcentral's name for it is "uncultured actinobacterium tRNA-Thr". It matches the Rfam family "tRNA". From Rfam's summary of the family: Transfer RNA (tRNA) molecules are approximately 80 nucleotides in length. The record is from RNAcentral. Lineage: Bacteria; Bacillati; Actinomycetota; Actinomycetes.
GCCCUCUUAGCUCAGUGGUAGAGCAUCUCCAUGGUAAGGAGAAGGUCGUCAGUUCAAUCCUGACAGAGGGCUC